Cloeon dipterum is the source of this 1957-nucleotide long non-coding RNA. RefSeq lists it as uncharacterized. The record is from RefSeq and is a predicted model, not a curated record. The transcript has 3 exons. NCBI's taxonomy places the organism in Eukaryota, Metazoa, Arthropoda, Insecta, Ephemeroptera, Baetidae.
AAAAGUCUUUGUGGAUGCUCCGUUGAUACUCCGCGGAUGAUCCACGGAACUCCGUGGAACUCACGUGGAUGAUCCCGAAUUUCCCAAAAUCAUGUAUUUAUAACAAAUAUUUGUCUAAAUAAUCAGUAAAUGAAUAAAGUGCUCCUCCAAAACUAUUUUAUUUGAUUUUUCUUUAAAAUUAUGCGUAAUUUCACUUCGUGGUAAGGUCUCCGUGGAUGCUCCGUGGAUGCUCCGCGAAUGAUUCACGGAACUCUUAACGCAAAAAUGGAAAAUAGCAUGUUUGAAGCAAAUUGUUCAGUUCAUAAGCUGCCCCUUAUCGCUUUUCUAAAUUCAUUAGUCACGUCGUUCUUGCUUAAAUUUCUAAAUUUUGGAAAUUGGUUAAGUGUCCGUGGAGUUUUCGUGGAUGAAUACCCGGACACUUAAAAACAUUUUUGGUUCUUUGGUAUUUCUUAGGUUAAUUAAAUUUUCAUUUUUAAUUAAUAAAUCAUCAUAAAAGUUAAUUACGAGCUCAGAAAACUCAAUAUUUUCAAAUAUAUUCCAAAAUCUAAACUCGCCACCUCGCCAGAAUAGCCACUGCUGCGAUUCAAACUUUUGAAAAGCGCGCGCACUCUCACUAGCCGCAGCGAGCCAAUGAGCGUUGCGCUUGGCUGUUACUGCUGUUUGUUGACAGACGCAGACGGCCGACGACCGCGAGCGCGCGCGAUCUGAGCGCAACGGAAAAGCCGUUGGGCGACGCCGCCGCGUAAUUAAUGUCAGUUUUCGGCCGCAAAUUCUUCCCCAAGUCGUCCAGCAAUAUUCUUAUGAUGUCGCGGUGAUUGCUGUGAAAUACGAAUCAAGUUCAACCGUCCCAGCAAACAUGCCGCAAAUCAAAGAAGAUCCGUGCCCGCGGCUUGCUUUUGUGGCAGUUGUUGCGAGCUAAGGAGGCAAGCUCGUCGAACCAGUGGCUGGCUCAAUUGUCCGCAUUGCUCUCCUCUGGAAUUGUCUGGGAGUCUGACAACAGCAAAACAGAGCUGAGAAGCUGACGGAGGCUUCAUAUCUUCGCUGUCACCGUUCCAGUCUUGAGUCUGCUGGUGCUUCUGGACUCGGAUGGAAUCAAUGCGACUCGAGUUCGAGACGAAUAGCUACGUGUGACAGGACGGACAGGUCUUGGAAAUGCUGGACCACUACUUUGAAGAAGAUUGAGUGUGGUACUGUGUAUUGUGUUUUUAAAUGGGUCUAUUUUUGAGCUCAAUUGUUGUAGUUUAUACAUAAUUCAUUUUAAGGCUAAUUAUGUUGCAUACAUAUACUUGUAUUGACUGUAAUAAUGUUUGUAUUACAAUUAAAUCAAAUUUUCUUGCAUGAAAGUUUUGGCAGGUUCAUAUUUUAAAUUAAAGCCAUUAUAAGUUUUAAAUUCACCAUUUUUUGCAAAAGCCUCUAGUGUUCGAAGUCAGCGCAGCCAUAUAUAUGUACUUCCAAGUUUCAUACUCAUGCACUUUGGUUAAGGAUUUAAUUCUACUGAUUUAUUUUCCGGAUUUUAAAUUAUUUAUUUUGAAUCUGAAAACCAAAAUCAGUUUAGCCAAUCUCCGUAUAAACAUGUAAAUAAUAUUUUUUGAACAAAUUUGACGUUUUUACGGUGAUUGGCUAGACUGACUUAUGUUUUUAGCACAUCAAAUCAAAUCAAUUUAAGGGUUUUAAACGCAGAGUGGCAUGAUCGUGUCUUUAUUCUCAGUGGAAGUGCAUUAAAAUCAAAGUAGCAGUUGGCGCCAGACAGCCACUAAGGGGUUUUUGAAACUGUUGAAUGUUCAACAAUUUUAGCUUUUUUAAAUUGAUUGUCAUCUCUUGUUCCUCAUCACCUUAUGGCAACAACCAACAACUGUAAAUUGAUAAAAUUAUCUGUAUCGAUCGAUUGUUAAUGUGUAUUUAUGUAAUAUUUUUGUAAAAGAAAUAGUAUAAAUAAAUAACAAUUUUAAAAUUCAAA